RNAcentral lists this long non-coding RNA (3048 nucleotides) under Zea mays. Its description in RNAcentral is "long non-coding RNA (ZMAY_LNC002136)". The record is from RNAcentral. Lineage: Eukaryota; Viridiplantae; Streptophyta; Magnoliopsida; Poales; Poaceae.
AUCGCAUUCACGAACUCAACCCAGGGAGUAUAUAAGCCAAUGAGUGCAUGCCCUUGCCAUCAACCAUGAGCCAUCGAGCCCCGUUCCUAAACGAAAGCUCAUGGGGUAGCCGAAGACUUCGUUGAUGAGCAGAGAGAAAAAUUGCUAUGUGUUGCCACCGUUCCAAUUUGGAAGCAUGCAGUCACCGAGGCGAGAAGACCGUGCGCAAGGCGUCUUCGAGCAUGGAGAACCCCAAGAAACAACAGGAAUUGCUCGGCGGAGUUCGUUCUUCAUCGUCGCCAAGCUGCUGCGCAGACGAUCCGUCCUCCACGGAGGUUUGGGGGCGCCACCACAUAUUUGCUUCUGGUCUGAGGCUUUGAAGAAUCACGGAUGCAUAAGGAUCAUACCUACGACGUUGUUGGGGAUCGAGAAUUGAUCGGUGACCAGGAACCGCUCACCGGCGUUGUUGCACCUCCCCGGAUUUUCGGAGUGUCGUGGACAGAGCUCUACGUUGCGUCUACAUAGGUGAGUACCUGCCAGUCAUGUUUGCCUCGUCCUUUGCUUCGGGUAGCACCAGUCAGCUCGGAGUUGGGAGCCCGGGACCACUGUGCAGGGCUUCGCCGGUUAGGCUCCGUCGCUCGGCGUGGUGGCGUCGCCACCCUGCUCCUAUCUCUGUUGGGAGGUAGGAGACGGAUCCCUGGUCGUUGGAUCGUGGGGGUGAGGGUUAGGAUUAGAGCUGGGUGUCCUGGUCAUGGAGAAAAUCAGGACCAUUGAUAUGUAGAUGGACGGUCGGGAUUAGAAGGUCAAUAAACUCUCGUGUUUUACAGCCUGGGUCGUAGAUCUUUAAGGCCUUGUUCGGUUACAUCGGAUUGUACCCGGAAUCGUUCCGGCUAAUCAAAGUUUAUAUAAAUUAGAGAAGCAAUCCGACUCGGAAUCGUUCCGACCUACCAAUCCGACACAAACGAACAAGGCCUAAGGGCUCGUUCGUUUGUACAGGAUUAGACCAGGAUUCAUUCCAACUUAUCAAAACCUACAUAAAUUAGAUAAACAAUCCGGCCAGGAACCGUUCCAGGCCUUCAAUCCGUGAAAAACGAACAAGCCCUAAUCUGGUGGUCCAUAUCAUGUACCGUUUCACUUAAAGACCAUCUAAUCUGCGUCAUAGAUAUGGAUCCAACAGCUCGGAAUCAGGGAUACCCGUUCAUCCAGGCAACUUUGCAUAAGGGCCCCUGGGCUUCUAGAGAACCAACCCACGAUCCACGGUAGUGCCAGGAACAUUACAUCUAGGUCCUGAACUUUACAGAGUAGACCCUGGAUUUCAAAAAAAAUUAUGGUCGCGGUCCAUAAAUCCCUAGUUAUUGGUAAAAUUACUUCGAAAAUGAUUUUUAAUGCAAAAGUAAUUCUAAAAACCAUCGGAAAUGCAUGACUAAUUCAUUUUAACUCCUUUUUGACCCAUUCUAGUUGUGUUAGUUUCGUAAUAAAAUUUCCUACACAUUACAAGUACUAAUUAUGACAUCUCGCAUACCUUUAUAAUUAGAUAGUUAUUUAAUCUAUGAUUGUUUGACUAACCCCUAAUAAAGGUUAAUUUGUCCAUAGUUACGAUUUAACUAAAUUAAGAUUUGUUACCUCGAAUAAAUCCAUUAAUACUGUUUAAUAUAAUGCUCACAUGAAUCAUAGUAACAUAUGAGUCAUUCUCACUAUUUUAUCGCCCACAACUUUGGAAAAUCGUAUCUUUUAACCGAAACUCCGAAUUCGGUGGUUCUCGAACUUGCGCUCUCGUAGCAACGCUUAGAAUAUUCUUACAUAGUUUGUUCUCAUGUUUGGUGUAAUGUUAUUUUUAUGUACUCCUUGUCUAUGUGUAUGUGUUGCUAUGUGUAGCAGCGAGGUUACGAGAAAUCCGAAGACCAAUUUGGUGAAGUACCUGGGAAUCUCAAGUCACAGACAAGUUGUGCUCUUGAUCACUCUUAUUUACCUAAUAAUGUUCCUGUUAGUCACUAUAACAUGCUCAGGUUAAUUUGAUGGGACCUAAUAGGUUUCCCUAGUAUUGUUUAUCCCACACCUUGUUUGCUACUAAACUUUUGGGUAGUAUAUGCUAUUGUUCUACCGGGUUUUGGGAUUAAUGUUACAACUGAAUUAUGAUCAUGUUCCAAUUUUGCUGUUGUUUUAAUUAUUGCUCAUUACAAGAUCAUUGUGUUAAUUAGAACAUGGAGCUUAACUUGAGAAAACAGUGUUGCCACAAGGAUGGUAUGGGACGCCCUUGGCUGACUAAUUAGGAAAGCUAGUGGAGGACUACUUUACCCGAAAGAGGCAAGGGCGCUAGGGGAGUUGUUGGUAUAGGGAUGUUCUCGGGUUGGUCAUGCUACGAUGGCUUUUCAGACGAGGGAUUCCUAUAUCGCUCUCCUCAGAAACCGUAGCGGGUUUUCUGAAGCUAGUGGAACUUUGUAAAGGCAUCGUAGUGCUACCCUACCUCGUCUCCUCGGUAGAGAUGAAUGGAAGUCACGAUCCCUUGGCAAAUGGGUAACACAACUUGUGUGUAAAGGGCACAACCUCUGUAGAGUGUAAAACUGGUAUAUCAGUCAUGCUCACGGUCAAGAGUGACUCAGGACUAUCGCAUGAUUAACUUAUGGAACUAAACUCAAUAUGUCAUAUCUAUUGCAUUGUGGGUGUUAUUAUUAAUUAUGAUAUCUUAUUUACUUGGGUUGGUAUCUACUUAUACUUAGUAACUGCUAAGAAAAUUUUAACCAACUCUAAAAGCAAUGCUUAGCUUUAACCAUCUUCGUUGGUAAGCCUUACACUUCACAUGAGCCCCACCGUAAAUGAGCUCAUGCACAUUAAUCCCCACAACUUGUUGAGCGAUGAACAUAUGUGAGCUCACCCUUGUUGUACUCACAUCCCCCCAGGUCAAGGACAGGUACCACAAGAUAAGGAGCAUGAAGGAUGCAGCGAUGAGUUCAUGAGAGGUCUAGGCCGUCAUCUCCCAGUUAACUAUGGUUGCGGGGGAUUGUUAUCUUCUUAUGAUGUAAUUAUUUAGUUAUUUUUUAUAGAACUUCUAUUAUAUAGUAAAGAUGUGAC